Molecule: unclassified non-coding RNA, 200 nt
Filed under: soil metagenome
Description: partial contains internal transcribed spacer 2 and large subunit ribosomal RNA
Source: RNAcentral
CCCUCAAGCGUAGCUUGGUAUUGGAUGCUCGCGGGCCCUCUUAUAGGGGCUCGCGUGUCCGAAAAGCAGUGGCGGUCCCCGAGGAUUUCGCGCGUAGUAAACUAUCAUCCCGCGUUGGAAAGAAUCGAUGGGCCCUGCCAAAACCCCCCAUAAUCUCCAUAAUUGACCUCGGAUCAGGUAGGGAUACCCGCUGAACUUAA